UCCCUAGUACAUCCGCCCCAGGUAGUAC
This 28-nucleotide small RNA is filed under the name Bombyx mori (domestic silkworm). RNAcentral's name for it is "ovarian small RNA-27373". Lineage: Eukaryota; Metazoa; Arthropoda; Insecta; Lepidoptera; Bombycidae. The record is from RNAcentral.